AAUUAGUCAAUGGUUGACUGAUUCGCUACUCAAGUAAUUUGUGCGUUGGUUACUUGACGGUAUCUCUUUUUCU
RNAcentral lists this non-coding RNA (73 nucleotides) under Chlorobium chlorochromatii CaD3. Its description in RNAcentral is "Chlorobi-RRM RNA". It matches the Rfam family "Chlorobi-RRM RNA". The record is from RNAcentral. Lineage: Bacteria; Pseudomonadati; Chlorobiota; Chlorobiia; Chlorobiales; Chlorobiaceae.